UAGGGAAUCUUCGGCAAUGGACGAAAGUCUGACCGAGCAACGCCGCGUGAGUGACGAAGGUUUUCGGAUCGUAAAACUCUGUUGUUAGAGAAGAACAAGGACGUUAGUAACUGAACGUCCCCUGACGGUAUCUAACCAGAAAUCCACGGCUAACUACGUGCCAGCAGCCGCGGUAAUACGUAGGUGGCAAGCGUUGUCCGGAUUUAUUGGGCGUAAAGCGAGCGCAGGCGGUUUCUUAAGUCUGAUGUGAAAGCCCCCGGCUCAACCGGGGAGGGUCAUUGGAAACUGGGAGACUUGAGUGCAGAAGAGGAGAGUGGAAUUCCAUGUGUAGCGGUGAAAUGCGUAGAUAUAUGGAGGAACACCAGUGGCGAAGGCGGCUCCCUGGUCUGUAACUGACGCUGAGGCUCGAAAGCGUGGGGAGCAAACAGG
This 429-nucleotide ribosomal RNA is filed under the name Gemmatimonadota bacterium. RNAcentral's name for it is "Gemmatimonadetes bacterium partial 16S ribosomal RNA". It matches the Rfam family "Bacterial small subunit ribosomal RNA", at positions 355 to 776 of the family's 1533-position model. Lineage: Bacteria; Pseudomonadati; Gemmatimonadota. The record is from RNAcentral.